This 1410-nucleotide ribosomal RNA is filed under the name metagenome. Its description in RNAcentral is "bacterial SSU rRNA". It matches the Rfam family "Archaeal small subunit ribosomal RNA". The record is from RNAcentral.
GCUAACUGGGUUCGACUAAGCCAUGCAAGUCUAGGGGGCCUUCGGGUCACCGGCAGAAUGAUCUGUAACACGUCAAUAAUCUGCCCUUAGGUCUUGGACAGCCUCGGGAAACUGUGGGUAAACCAGGAUAGGGAAUGGAUACUGGAAUGUGCCAUUCUUGAAAAGCAAUGCCUAAGGAUGAGUUGGCGGUGGAUUAGGCUGUUGGUGGGGUAAAGGCCCACCAAACCUAAGAUCCAUAGGGGCCGUGAGAGCGGUAGCCCCGAGAAGGACACUGAGAUACUGGUCCUAGCCCUACGAGGUGCAGCAGGCGCGAAACCUUUACAAUGCACGAAAGUGUGAUAAGGGAACCCAGAGUGCUCAUGUUUUACAUGGGCUUUUUUUCAAGGGUAAAUACCUUGGAGAAUAAGUGGUGGGUAAGACUGGUGCCAGCCGCCGCGGUAACACCAGCGCCACAAGUGGCGACCAGUAUUAUUGGGCCUAAAGCGUCCGUAGCCGGUUUUGUAAAUGUUCUGUGAAAUUGUCAAGCUCAACUUGACAGCGUGCAAAACAGACUGCAAAACUAGAGACCGGGAGGAGUCAGAGGUAUGCUGGGGGGAGCGGUAAAAUGUUAUAAUCCUCGGUAGACCACCUGUGGCGAAGGCGUCUGACUAGAACGGUUCUGACGGUGAGGGACGAAAGCCAGGGGAGCGAGAUGGAUUAGAUACCCAUGUAGUCCUGGCUGUAAACGUUGCGAGUUAGGUGUUGCAUAAGCUUCUUGCUUAUGCAGUAUCGCAGGGAAGCCGUUAAACUCGCCGCCUGGGAAGUAUGGUCGCAAGACUGAAACUUAAAGGAAUUGGCGGGGGCGCGCCACAAGGAGUGGGGCGUGCGGUUUAAUCUAACUCAACGCAGAGAAUCUCACUAGCAGCGACGGCAAGAUGAAGGUCAGUCUGAAGGGCUUACCUGAUGAGCCAAGAGGUAUUGCAUGGCCGUCGUCAGCUCGUGCCGUAAGGUGUCCAGCUAAGUCUGGCAACGAGCGAGACCUGUACCUACAAUUGCUAACGACUCAAUCUGAGAAUCGAGCACAUUGUAGGGACUGCCCUGGAAACAGGGAGGAAGGUGCAGGCUACGGUAGGUCUGUAUGGUCCGAAUCUGCUAGGCUACACGCGCGCAACAAUGGUAAGGACAAUGGGAUGCCACUUCGUAAGAAGAAGCUAAACCUCUAAACCUUAUCCUAGUCCGAAUCGAGGGUUGUAACUCACCCUCGUGUCGCUGGAAUUCCUAGUAAUCGGAAGUCAACAUCUUCCGGUGAAUAUGUCCCCGCGCCUUGCACACACCGCCCGUCACAUCAACCGAGCAGGGUCUAGGUGAAAUAUAGUUUCUUGAUUAUCUUGAACCUAGGCUCAGUGAGGUGGGUGAAGUCGUCACAAGGUA